CCUACGGGCGGCUGCAGUGGGGGAUAUUGGUCAAUGGGCGGAAGCCUGAACCAGCCAAGUCGCGUGAGGGAUUAAGGCCCUAUGGGUCGUAAACCUCUUUUGUCAGGGAGCAAGGUCGUCCACGUGUGGGCGUAUGGAGAGUACCUGAAGAACAAGCAUCGGCUAACUCCGUGCCAGCAGCCGCGGUAAUACGGAGGAUGCGAGCGUUAUCCGGAUUUAUUGGGUUUAAAGGGUGCGUAGGCGGGACCUUAAGUCAGCGGUAAAAUUGCGGUGCUCAACGCGGUAGGGCCGUUGAAACUGGGGAGCUUGAGUGAGCGAGAAGUAUGCGGAAUGCGUGGUGUAGCGGUGAAAUGCAUAGAGAUCACGCAGAACCCCGAUUGCGAAGGCAGCAUACCGGCGCUCAACUGACGCUGAGGCACGAAAGUGCGGGUAUCAAACAGGAUUAGAUACCCCAGUAGUC
Molecule: ribosomal RNA, 460 nt
Filed under: uncultured bacterium
Lineage: Bacteria
Description: partial 16S ribosomal RNA
Rfam family: Bacterial small subunit ribosomal RNA
Source: RNAcentral